UGUGUAGGCGGUUGUUUAAGUUUGGUGUGAAAUCUCCCGGCUCAACUGGGAGGGUGCGCCGAAUACUGAAUGACUCGAGUGCGGGAGAGGAGAGUGGAAUUCCUGGUGUAGCGGUGAAAUGCGUAGAUAUCAGGAGGAACACCGGUGGUGUAGACGGCUCUCUGGACCGUAACUGACGCUGAGACACGAAAGCGUGGGUAGCAAACAGGAUUAGAUACCCUGGUAGUCCACGCCCUAAACGAUGCAUAUUUGGUGUGGGCCGUUCAGUCGGUCCGUGCCGGAGCUAACGCGUUAAAUAUGCCGCCUGGGGAGUACAGUCGCAAGGCUGAA
RNAcentral lists this ribosomal RNA (330 nucleotides) under uncultured bacterium. RNAcentral's name for it is "bacterial SSU rRNA". It matches the Rfam family "Bacterial small subunit ribosomal RNA", at positions 568 to 898 of the family's 1533-position model. The record is from RNAcentral.